This is a non-coding RNA of Lolium perenne, 208 nucleotides long. Lineage: Eukaryota; Viridiplantae; Streptophyta; Magnoliopsida; Poales; Poaceae. The record is from RefSeq and is a predicted model, not a curated record.
CAGGAUGCUGGAGAAUGUCUGUUGCAUUUAAUGGAAACACUUACUGAAACACUAGAAACUGAAGAAAGGGAAUCUACUAAUCUUAUCAAGAGACUUUUUGGAGUUGAUCUUUUGAGCAGUUUGAGUUCUGAAGGUGGGGAGACUGUUGAUUACCUGAAUUGCUUAAUGCCUAAGGAUGUAAAUGGUUUUCUUAAAGGGCUUGAUCUUG